GGGGGGACGCAGUAGGAUAGGCGAAGCGUGCGAUUGGAUUGCACGUCUAAGCAGUAAGGCUGAGUAUUAGGCAAAUCCGGUACUCGUUAAGGCUGAGCUGUGAUGGGGAGAAGACAUUGAGUCUUCGAGUCGUUGAUUUCACACUGCCGAGAAAAGCCUCUAGAUAGAAAAUAGGUGCCCGUACCGCAAACCGACACAGGUAGUCAAGAUGAGAAUUCUAAGGUGAGCGAGCGAACUCUCGUUAAGGAACUCGGCAAAAUGACCCCGUAACUUCGGGAGAAGGGGUGCUCUUUAGGGUUAACGCCCAGAAGAGCCGCAGUGAAUAGGCCCAAGCGACUGUUUAUCAAAAACACAGGUCUCUGCUAAACCGUAAGGUGAUGUAUAGGGGCUGACGCCUGCCCGGUGCUGGAAGGUUAAGAGGAGUGGUUAGCUUCUGCGAAGCUACGAAUCGAAGCCCCAGUAAACGGCGGCCGUAACUAUAACGGUCCUAAGGUAGCGAAAUUCCUUGUCGGGUAAGUUCCGACCCGCACGAAAGGCGUAACGAUUUGGGCACUGUCUCAACGAGAGACUCGGUGAAAUCAUAGUACCUGUGAAGAUGCAGGUUACCCGCGACAGGACGGAAAGACCCCGUGGAGCUUUACUGUAGCCUGAUAUUGAAAUUCGGCACAGCUUGUACAGGAUAGGUAGGAGCCUUUGAAACGUGAGCGCUAGCUUACGUGGAGGCGCUGGUGGGAUACUACCCUAGCUGUGUUGGCUUUCUAACCCGCACCACUUAUCGUGGUGGGAGACAGUGUCAAGCGGGCAGUUUGACUGGGGCGGUCGCCUCCUAAAAGGUAACGGAGGCGCUCAAAGGUUCCCUCAGAAUGGUUGGAAAUCAUUCAUAGAGUGUAAAGGCAUAAGGGAGCUUGACUGCGAGACCUACAAGUCGAGCAGGGUCGAAAGACGGACUUAGUGAUCCGGUGGUUCCGCAUGGAAGGGCCAUCGCUCAACGGAUAAAAGCUACCCCGGGGAUAACAGGCUUAUCUCCCCCAAGAGUUCACAUCGACGGGGAGGUUUGGCACCUCGAUGUCGGCUCAUCGCAUCCUGGGGCUGUAGUCGGUCCCAAGGGUUGGGCUGUUCGCCCAUUAAAGCGGUACGCGAGCUGGGUUCAGAACGUCGUGAGACAGUUCGGUCCCUAUCCGUCGUGGGCGUAGGAAAUUUGAGAGGAGCUGUCCUUAGUACGAGAGGACCGGGAUGGACAUACCUCUGGUGUACCAGUUGUCGUGCCAACGGCAUAGCUGGGUAGCUAUGUGUGGACGGGAUAAGUGCUGAAAGCAUCUAAGCAUGAAGCCCCCCUCAAGAUGAGAUUUCCCAACUUCGGUUAUAAGAUCCCUCAAAGAUGAUGAGGUUAAUAGGUUCGAGGUGGAAGCAUGGUGACAUGUGGAGCUGACGAAUACUAAUCGAUCGAAGACUUAAUCAAAA
RNAcentral lists this ribosomal RNA (1461 nucleotides) under Staphylococcus sp. HMSC36F05. RNAcentral describes it as "bacterial LSU rRNA". It matches the Rfam family "Bacterial large subunit ribosomal RNA", at positions 1466 to 2925 of the family's 2925-position model. Lineage: Bacteria; Bacillati; Bacillota; Bacilli; Caryophanales; Staphylococcaceae. The record is from RNAcentral.